Molecule: signal recognition particle RNA, 296 nt
Filed under: Saimiri boliviensis boliviensis (Bolivian squirrel monkey)
Lineage: Eukaryota; Metazoa; Chordata; Mammalia; Primates; Cebidae
Description: Metazoan signal recognition particle RNA (ENSSBOG00000002346.1)
Rfam family: Metazoan signal recognition particle RNA
About the family: The signal recognition particle (SRP) is a universally conserved ribonucleoprotein. It is involved in the co-translational targeting of proteins to membranes.
Source: RNAcentral
GCCAGGCACAGUGGCUUGCCUGUAGUCCCACUACUUGGGAGGCUGAGGUGGGAGGAUUGCUUGAGCCCAAGAGUUCUGGGUUGUAGUGUGCUGUGCCAAUUGGGUGUCCGCACUAAGUUCAGCAUCAAUAUGUUGACCUCCCAGGAGCGGGAGACCACCAGGUUGUCUAAGGAGGGGUGAACCAGCCCAGGUCAGAAACGGAGCAGGUCAAAACUCCUGUGCUGAUCAGUAGUGGGAUCGCACCUGUGAAGAGCCACUGCACUCCAGCCUGGGCAACAUAGUGAGACCCCAUCUCU